RNAcentral lists this unclassified non-coding RNA (444 nucleotides) under uncultured fungus. Its description in RNAcentral is "partial contains small subunit ribosomal RNA, internal transcribed spacer 1, and 5.8S ribosomal RNA". The stretch from base 1 to 73 matches the Rfam family "Eukaryotic small subunit ribosomal RNA", at positions 1759 to 1831 of the family's 1831-position model. Lineage: Eukaryota; Fungi. The record is from RNAcentral.
UCAAACUUGGUCAUUUAGAGGAAGUAAAAGUCGUAACAAGGUUUCCGUAGGUGAACCUGCGGAAGGAUCAUUAACACUUUUGUAUUGUAACCAAACACUAUUUACGUUGUUGAACCAAUAUCGCGAGCCAUGCACCCCUCCCUUUCGAGGGCGCGAUGGUAUUCUGCGCUACCGCACGGGUGCAGGGAGCCUUCGGGUUUGCGAGCCUGUGCGGCAUGCCCCAUUCCAAUUCUUUUUUUAAAACACCUGAAGAUUUACAUCGACUGAAGGGCUUUCCGAUCGAUCGAGCACUUUCCUUUUCAUUUCAACAGUGAACAGUGAAAGCGUUCUCGUUCUGGGCCAUUUUCUGUGCUUUUGUCUCUUCGGAGCUAGCCGGAAUCAAACAACAAAAACACAACUCUUAACAGCGGAUAUCUAGGCUCUGGCAUCAAUGAAGAACGCAGC